UUUGAUGCGGAAGUUGAUUUGAUGUAAUGUUCAUUGAAGCGGUUUCAUCAGAUGUUGACACUCCUGAGGCUGAUGUGACAGUGGAUGUGGCAGACGGCGACGGUUGAACAUUCGACAACAAAUGGGAGAUUUUACACUGUUGGUCAGGCUUCAGAUGGGAAUAAUUCGUAAUGGAGUUUGUGUUCUUGUGACCUAAAGGGAGUACAGUUUACGUGGGUAUUCCCGGGAAACCCUGAUACAUGCAUCACUUGACAGUGUUGAACCACAUACAGUGUUGACACAGUUUUAGAUGCAUGAUUAAUCGUACUGCAUGGGACGUUGUGUGGACAGGCAUUAGGUCUCAUUGUGUGGCACUGUACAACAACUGCAUAGGACGAUGUGUGGACAGGCUAUAUGUCUGAUGGCGUGUCACUGUACAUCGGCUUUUUUUUGGAAGCUGCCAGAAAAUGCACACCAUCAAUAUACCUGAAGCUCAACUUAAAUUUGUCGUCCAAAUUCUGAAUGAUAUGCAACUGCGAACGGCUUGGACGUUGUGACACAGGACGAGUAUUAUCGAUUUGCAUUGCUAUGGAAAUAUCGACAUGGACCUUCUGUUACUUGCCUCAUAUCAAGUGGGUUCCUUGAACCUGGUUUGAGGGACACGGUGACGUCUAGAAGUAUCCUAAAUAGUUGUGUGUACGUAACAAGGGAGUUGUUUGGACUGCUACUUGCAUUUGACAAUCGACACGACUCGACGCCAGUUUCAGAGAGCUUGUAUUUGAAAAGAGAGGGGAUGGCAAAGAGAAGGCACUUUGAACGGAUUGAUGGCGGUGCAUCAGGAAAAGUUCUCUACAAUGUGUAUUCUAUCCUGUGCUUUCUGCUGUCUAUUGGUAUGAUAAUCUCAGGUGUAGCGUACUUUAACGACUGUGCUAGCAGUUACAUCCUAAACGUAUAUCUGAUUGUGCAAGGUGCACUCCUCAUCAUCUUCCCUAUCCUGAUGUGCACUGCGUUAUGCUGUGGCCCUCGUAUGAGGGACGUAUACUACUACACUGUAUGUGUCACGGCAGGACUUCUGUGCACUGGCUGGUUGAUCGCAGGUUUGUCUAUGACGUGGUGGACUUGUAAACAAUAGAGUCACGAAGUCACUGGCACGAUGUAAGUGAGUGCAAGUCGACUACGUUAUACAAGAUUUCCCUCGGGGCCCUUGUGGCCACCUGGCUGAUGAAUGGUGCCUUCUUGGUUUUGGCAAAACAACCAUGUCCGUCGUUACUGAACAAAAUGACUAUACAUGUACAAUUCUGACAUAUGUUUUAUGUAUUAAAACAGACACCAUUGCGUUUUGUCGAGUUGUCAUCGACCUUCCACGAAAGGGUCAAAAUCUGGACAACCAAUGUACGUGCGUGGCGCUAUAACACCUUACUGAGGAGUAUGGGGACUUACCUGCUACUGCUCCCUGCUUGAUUCCCCUGCAGGAUUUAUGCCAUCACUUUGGACACGAGUGAUAAUAUGGAAUGAUAUCCAUUAUACAAAAACAUAACAAACUAUAAUCAAAGAUCUAAAACACAAGUCGAUAUUAUAUACUGUCAGACUGGCACUAAUUGUAUACUACUUUACCACGUGGACCCGUGAUUUAACACGAAACUUGGUCAGCGUGUAGGCAUCCUAACCAGUGAGAAGACAGAUGCGCUUUGGAAGCCGAAUACAUAGCGUGUGAUUUCAGCACUUUCAC
Molecule: RNA transcript, 1708 nt
Organism: Haliotis rufescens (red abalone)
Lineage: Eukaryota; Metazoa; Mollusca; Gastropoda; Lepetellida; Haliotidae
Exons: 6
Source: RefSeq, a predicted model, not a curated record